RNAcentral lists this long non-coding RNA (717 nucleotides) under Trifolium pratense (red clover). RNAcentral's name for it is "long non-coding RNA (TPRA_LNC012375)". The record is from RNAcentral. Lineage: Eukaryota; Viridiplantae; Streptophyta; Magnoliopsida; Fabales; Fabaceae.
UUAUCUACUAGUAAUCUAAGAAAGUAAGAUGAUCUUUAAAAACCUUUUUUGCCCUUAAGUCUAAUUUUUUUUCGUUUUUGUUUGCUCCUUCAAUUGGGGGUAAAAUGGCCUUAUUUUGAUGAAAGUUCUCUUAUUCAUCUAAGGGCCACCUUUUUCGUCUAUGACAAUUUUGUCCUUCACUGAAUACACUAACAAUUUGAAUUUAUAAUGGCAAAACUUUGACCAAUUUGGGAAUUUCACAAAUAUGUUUCACAUUGUCCAAUGUUGAGAAGAUUCAAAUUUCAAAUAUCAUAUUCUCCCUCUUUUUCUCUCAUUAUAAUCAAUAAUCAAUUUUGUGUUCUCUCUCUCAAUCUACACAUAUUCAUGUUGUCUCUUCUCUAUCAUUUUCUCUUUUCUUCUGCAUAUUUCUUUCUUACUACUAAUGUUUGUUCUUCUCAUUUAUUUUGCAGAGAAAGAAGAAUAAAAGAAAAUAAAAUGUUCACGAAGGUAUGUACCAAAACGAAACUCACAUUUUCUUUGUUCAUCUACAUUUUUUAUUUUUUAUAUCAUGUUUAACAAACAUAUACAAACAUAUUUUCUCUUCAACUUUCAUUUACAUAAUGAUUAUACAGAAUAAAAACAACUACUAACAAACAUAUUUUUUCUUUAACUACUAACUUUCAACUUUCGGAAACAAAUUUGUUGCAGGAAAUAAAUAAGAGCUUAGAAGAUUUUAAC